This 465-nucleotide ribosomal RNA is filed under the name uncultured bacterium. Its description in RNAcentral is "bacterial SSU rRNA". It matches the Rfam family "Bacterial small subunit ribosomal RNA", at positions 338 to 795 of the family's 1533-position model. The record is from RNAcentral.
CCUACGGGGUGCAGCAGUGGGGAAUAUUGCACAAUGGGCGCAAGCCUGAUGCAGCCAUGCCGCGUGUAUGAAGAAGGCCUUCGGGUUGUAAAGUACUUUCAGCGGGGAGGAAGGUGUUGUGGUUAAUAACCUCACCGAUUGACGUUACCCGCAGAAGAAGCACCGGCUAACUCCGUGCCAGCAGCCGCGGUAAUACGGAGGGUGCAAGCGUUAAUCGGAAUUACUGGGCGUAAAGCGCACGCAGGCGGUCUGUCAAGUCGGGUGUGAAGUCCCCGGGCUCGACCUGGGAACUGCAUUCGAAACUGGCAGGCUAGAGUCUUGUAGAGGGGGGUAGAAUUCCAGGUGUAGCGGUGAAAUGCGUAGAGAUCUGGAGGAAUACCGGUGGCGAAGGCGGCCCCCUGGACAAAGACUGACGCUCAGGUGCGAAAGCGUGGGGAGCAAACAGGAUUAGAUACCCGGGUAGUC